This is a long non-coding RNA of Hypanus sabinus (Atlantic stingray), 1041 nucleotides long. RefSeq lists it as uncharacterized. The record is from RefSeq and is a predicted model, not a curated record. The transcript is spliced from 2 exons. Lineage: Eukaryota; Metazoa; Chordata; Chondrichthyes; Myliobatiformes; Dasyatidae.
AAUGAUACUUAAGGAGUCCAUUUAGAAUGUGCUGACACAGAAAGAAUGUGCAAAGCAACUUGCAGGGCAACGUAUAAACCAAUCUGCAAAAUCAGGAUGAAACAAUAGCUUGCUGAUUAAAGAAGCGAUACGGGUAACGGGAAGACAUGCUUAACGGUUGAACAAUAACGGUGUUAAUGCGCUGAGGCUGAUAAGUGGGCCAAAGGGUAGUCACAUUUGUAAUUUUGUAAUGAGAUUAAGGAAGAAUGUCUGCACCUCACAUGGGUGCAACUCACAAAGUUGUAAACAAGUAGGGUAUAAAAAAACUGUGCAAAGUGUAAUUCGGCACUCAAUCUAGCAGGAGCUGGUUGGGUCCGACUCUGCAGACUCGAAAAAUAAAGUUUACCGUUCUGCAAAUUGCUGAGACUCAGUGUGUUUCUGACAACGUGGGGGCUCGUCCGGGAUCCACUACGGCCGCGGUGGACACGAGGAAGGACAUCGGAGACGGUGCACCCCGCCGAGUUUGGCGGUCCCUGACUCCUUGCUCGUCGCUCCAGCGCGGCUUGAGCGAGUGAUAUCCGGACAGCGCAGAGCGGUAAACGGGGAGAAGGGGACAGUACCUGGUACUGGAAGUCCCCAGGACGCACCGGAAUUGCGCAGGAAGGGGUUACUCGCACAAACCCCACCUCUGGACUUCGCACUCCACCGAACUCAGCCCGGUGACUGGGUCCUGAUUAAGACUUGGAAGCCAGAGAAGUUACAGCCGCAGUGGGAAGGCCCAUUCCAGGUGCUACUGACCACCGAAGCCGCAGUAAGGACAAAAGAAAAAGGGUGGACCCACGCCGCGAGAAUCAAGGGACCCGUAAAGCCCGAAGAAGGUGCAGAAUGGACUUGCGUCCAGGGAGAAGACCCGAUGGUGCUAAAGCUCAAAAGACGGACAGAAUGAACUUUGGGACUGUAAUGUAUAUACUGCUAUUGUUGAGAAGCGCUGAAGGGGGAUGUGAUAAGUGCAGGACGACGGUAAGGGUGGGCAUGACGGUUUUUUUCCAGGGUCCUUUGUAU